RNAcentral lists this long non-coding RNA (1248 nucleotides) under Monodelphis domestica (gray short-tailed opossum). RNAcentral's name for it is "lncRNA (ENSMODG00000040810.1)". Lineage: Eukaryota; Metazoa; Chordata; Mammalia; Didelphimorphia; Didelphidae. The record is from RNAcentral.
CUCUGACACUGUUGAUGGGAUUAAGUCCUGCUGGGUUGGCUAGAUGUGCCCUGAGGCCAAAACCUCCAGGAAAGGGGGGAGAAACAUGUAGGGUCUCCCCUGCUGCAAACAGGCUGCCUGCUCUGCGCUUCCUCUCCAGCUCCUUCCCCACUGCCUGUGUUGGAGGCUCUGAGCCUGGUACAGCCCUGCCCACAAGGAAUACUGACAAAGACUUUCCUGGAGAGAGUGUGGUGGAGCCAAGGUGGUAACUUGAGAACAGCUCCUGCCCAGUGGACCAAGAAAGAGAGUGGCUGGAAGAGUCUGAUGAUGCUGCACACUUUCCACCUGGAGGAAUUUAUUUAUUUAUUUUUCUCUUCUCCUCAUACAGUCAACCUUCAAGCAAACACAUAUAUAAAGUAGAUGAUAUCUAAAGUCUUUUCUUCUAAAAUUCUUGGUGCUGCCCAUUAAUCCUUCAUUGAGAAUCUACCAAAGCUCCAAAAUAUCCCCAUGUCAUUUCUGCACCAUACCAUCUGCACCCUGGCCACCAUCCAUAUCUUUCCUCCUCCCCAUCCAACUUGGACUCUUCCUCUGGGAUGUUAGGUUCUGAUAGAUGAGCUUUGACCUUGCUCAGAACCAGGUCAAGAUGACCUCCCUGGCUAUCUCCUGUACACUGCUCUUGUACAAAUUCUAUCAGAUUGUUUCCCUGUUUGUGCAGUAUAUGGAUGCAAGGGUAAGGAUAGUGAGCAUUUAUAGAGCAUCUACUCUGGGCCAAGUACUUUAAAAAAAUAUUCUCUCAUUUGAUCUUCAUGACAAUUUCACAAGACAGAUGCUGUUAUCUCCAUUUUUAAUUGAGGAAACCAAGGCAAACAGAAGUUGAGUGAGUUGCUUAGGGCCACAUAGCUAAUAAGUAUUUGAGGCUGGAUUUGAACUCAGCUACCUGAGUAUAAUAGUUGUUGCAGAUAAUAUGCUUCAACCUGAAUACACAGCUCACAUUUUUGAUUCUUCAGAGAUAGUGGUUUUCCAUGAAUUGGAAUCCUAAAGCAUUACUAGAAAUAUAUCAGGGUUAAAAAAACAAAAUAGUUUUGGGGUUAGGCAACAACUCUGGAACAUUUAAAGCAGAGUACAAUUGUCCAAGUGAAAUCUAACCCACUCUUUAAAAAAAUUGUUGAUUUUUUUAAAACAUUCUUUUCUUUUGAAGUUUUGAGUUCCCAAUUCUCUCUCUUCCACCUUUUCCCCUGCCCACAGAAAAGGCAAGCAACAUAAUAUCAA